GUUCAUUGCACAUGCGGAAAGAAUGGCAUUGGAGGGUACAAAUCGUAGCAUGGAUUUACACGAUAUGCUAGUAACAGCAGGCGGGGCUAAUACAUAUAUGGCCAGGAUGGUUAGGGAAAAUUACUUACAUAAUGAGAAGAGUAGGGUUGUUGAAGAUUUCAGGAAGUUGUUUGAGUGCAUCAUAAACAUCGGACUGGAGAAGAAGAAAAAUAACAUUAGUUAUUUGAAGAGCUGUGGAAAUAUGUUGGUCGAAGGUAAAGAAAAUUGUAUAAUUACAGUUGCAUUAAAACGGACAUAAGAAAGUUGCGGAAUGUUUGACAGGUUUGAAGAUAGAAAGCUUGGAUUUAUUGAAAGGGAUCGGUGCUUCGAAAUACAGCAGUGUGGCAGGGUCGGCUACUGUUGUCAAUGAAAUUAAAGGGAAGGAGAAAGUGGGUGAUUGCGCUGGAAAGAGCUUACUUGGAGACGACAAGGGUGGUAUUUCUGAUUAUUCGAUGGGACCUCUUAAAAAAUUACCAAGGGACAAGUUGGGAAUGGAUGAGUGGUGUGAAAGGAAAGGGGUAUUUGUUCCAAUGACCGUGUUUGCGCAAGCAUAUUUAACAC
Triticum aestivum (bread wheat) is the source of this 600-nucleotide long non-coding RNA. RefSeq lists it as uncharacterized. The record is from RefSeq and is a predicted model, not a curated record. The transcript has 3 exons. NCBI's taxonomy places the organism in Eukaryota, Viridiplantae, Streptophyta, Magnoliopsida, Poales, Poaceae.